This 149-nucleotide ribosomal RNA is filed under the name Cardamine glauca. RNAcentral's name for it is "5.8S ribosomal RNA". It matches the Rfam family "5.8S ribosomal RNA". Rfam says of the family: 5.8S ribosomal RNA (5.8S rRNA) is a component of the large subunit of the eukaryotic ribosome. It is transcribed by RNA polymerase I as part of the 45S precursor that also contains 18S and 28S rRNA. Functionally, it is thought that 5.8S rRNA may be involved in ribosome translocation. The record is from RNAcentral. Lineage: Eukaryota; Viridiplantae; Streptophyta; Magnoliopsida; Brassicales; Brassicaceae.
AAAACGACUCUCGGCAACGGAUAUCUCGGCUCUCGCAUCGAUGAAGAACGUAGCGAAAUGCGAUACUUGGUGUGAAUUGCAGAAUCCCGUGAACCAUCGAGUCUUUGAACGGCCUUCUGGCCGAGGGCACGUCUGCCUGGGUGUCACAA